GCUUGCUACUUGCUGACGACCGGCGCACGGGUGCGUAACGCGUAUACAAUCUGCCUUAUACAGAGGGAUAGCCUUUAGAAAUGAAGAUUAAUACCUCAUGGUCUAUUAAUAUAGCAUUAUAUAAAUAGUAAAGCUUCGGCGGUAUAAGAUGAGUAUGCGUCCUAUUAGUUAGUUGGUAAGGUAACGGCUUACCAAGACAACGAUAGGUAGGGGCCCUGAGAGGGGGAUCCCCCACACUGGUACUGAGACACGGACCAGACUCCUACGGGAGGCAGCAGUGAGGAACAUUGGACAAUGGAGGUAACUCUGAUCCAGCCAUUCCGCGUGCAGGAAGACGGCCCUAUGGGUUGUAAACUGCUUUUAUAUAGGAAGAAACCUUUUCACGUGUGAGAAGCUGACGGUACUAUAAGAAUAAGGACCGGCUAACUCCGUGCCAGCAGCCGCGGUAAUACGGAGGGUCCGAGCGUUAUCCGGAAUCAUUGGGUUUAAAGGGUCCGUAGGCGGGAAUCUAAGUCAGUGGUGAAAUCUUACAGCUCAACUGU
RNAcentral lists this ribosomal RNA (542 nucleotides) under uncultured Bacteroidota bacterium. RNAcentral's name for it is "bacterial SSU rRNA". It matches the Rfam family "Bacterial small subunit ribosomal RNA", at positions 78 to 616 of the family's 1533-position model. The record is from RNAcentral. Lineage: Bacteria; Pseudomonadati; Bacteroidota.